Long non-coding RNA from Mustela lutreola (European mink), 1924 nucleotides. RefSeq lists it as uncharacterized. The transcript has 2 exons. NCBI's taxonomy places the organism in Eukaryota, Metazoa, Chordata, Mammalia, Carnivora, Mustelidae. The record is from RefSeq and is a predicted model, not a curated record.
AUUUCCGCCUCGCGUCCCGCCUCCGCGGCUUCGCGGGCUUACCUGGUCGUCUAGUAUCCCAGCUCCUGGUCAGCGGGACGGUGCUGUCCCGGGCGCAGACCACCCUCCCCGCCGCCGCUGCCCAACUCCGGAAGGCCUUGGGUAGGUCGCGAGCCCACGAGCCUCAGUUUGCCGUCUGUGAAAUGGGAGUUCCUGGCAGCUGCCCUUAAUGCGAAACUAAGUCUGAUCGUUCUCUGUGUUUUGUGCGCACUUCUGGAAGCUUCCAAGGGGUCCUUCCAUUUAACAUUUACAAUACCGUGAGGAAGUGGCUUCUGUGAUCUCCCUUUCCAGAUGAAGAGGCUGGUCUGAAGCUUCUCCCUGCGAAUGAAGCCCCAGUGUUUAGAACCUAAGGGAUUGUGCCGAGAUGUCUUUCUAGAUGGCGAAGCUUUAUGGGAACCUAAAUUACCAUCGACCUAUGUUGCGAUGUGUCCUGAAGUGAGCGUUCAUGCGAGGCGCUGAAGAAGCAGGGAACACGGUUAACGAAAUCUGCUGCGCGGCAGUUACUCAAACCGCUACUGAAGAGCGUGGGCCAGAACGGCGAAAAGGGCUCCUCACACAGCACGGGGACGAUUCCUGGGCCACCACCCCCAGCCUCCAGCACUAGCUGAACCGAGAAUCCCCAAGCCCACUGACAGCCCUUUGGGACCCUGUUGGAACCUCUUUCCCACCAGGGUUUGAGAUGACCGAGCUUCCCUGGCUCCCCACCUUUUCCUCCUUGUUCCAGAUUCAUCUUGCCUGUGCAUUUGUCCACCCUAGUUUAGACUACUUAGUUGGGGGAACAGCACGAUAGUCAGAGAGGGUCAAUGAGAGGGCCUGGUUGCAGAGAGCCUUAGGGGCAUGGUGACGGCUCUGACUCAGGCUUUGAGUGAAAUGGGAAGCCAUCGCAUGGUUCCGAGCAGAGCACUGAUGAACUCUGAUCACACCAAAAGUUCCCUUUGAUUUCUCUGUGGAGAACAGACUAAGAGGGUAAGGAAAGGAGCAGGAUGACACCCAAACCAAUGCAGUAAUCGAGGUGGGAAGUGAUGGCAGCUGAGAUAAGAGUGAUCUGUGUCCAGUUGUGGAGGAGUAACUCAUCCUCACCAGCUAGGAGCCCAGGAGUCCUUAAGUUCAGCAUUCUGCAGGAUCGCGAGUCCUCCACAGGGAAGUCAGCAUGCCUCUACUGUCAGUGGCCACCCAGAAGCUUCCCCACCCACAGCUCUCCUCGCUGCCUCUGCUCCCAGCUCAGCAUUCAGCCUGCAAUUUUCUCACCCCAGGGAUUUAAUGGUAGAGGUCUGCUCAUUUUCCUUUUAAGAAAAACAUGUAAAAUAUAAUAAAGUUGUAAGGGAAACCCUGUGAAAGCACUCUUAAACUUGGAAAAAAAUGAGCCAAAAACAAAAAACAUUAUCCAUGUGGCUGAAACUCCACGUUCCCCUCUUCAAUAGAAACCAACAUUCAGAGAUAGCCACUAUCCUGAAUGAGAUGUGGAUGGCUCUGUGGUAUUCAAACUUUACAUGUAUCCCAGAGCAAUACAAAGCAUUUACUAUGCAUAUUUUGCAUUCAUAUAAAUGUAUCAAUAUGAGAUUUUAUCUGUGGGGCACCUGGGUGGCUUGGUGGGUUAAGCCUCUGCCUUCGGCUCAGAUCAUGAUCUCAGGGUCUUGGGAUCAAGCCCUGAAUCGAGCUCUCUACUCUGAGAGCCUGCUUCCCUCUCUCUCUCUGCCUGCCUCUCUGCCUACUUGUGAUCUGUCCAAAAAAAAAAAAAAAAAAAAUCUUUAAGAAAAAAAAGAUUUUUUCUGUAACUUGCAUUUUUUGCUUCAUGUAAUUUAUCAUUGCAGCAUUUAUCCUUUUUGAUUAUGUGAAGGUCUAUUUUCAUGGCUAUCUAGUUUUCAGUAAAAUGAGUAUAAUAGAA